RNAcentral lists this ribosomal RNA (1332 nucleotides) under Triticum aestivum (bread wheat). Its description in RNAcentral is "partial small subunit ribosomal RNA". The record is from RNAcentral. Lineage: Eukaryota; Viridiplantae; Streptophyta; Magnoliopsida; Poales; Poaceae.
AUGGGCUGCGCGCAAGCCAAGCCGUCCCAGGGCUCCCCCGCCCGCAGCCACGACCGCGGCAUCGACCACCUCAUGCGCUGCAACGGCUACACGCCCGCCGCCGCCCGCCGCCUCACCGACCCGCUCCCCACCACCGCCGCCGUCGCGGUCGCGAGGGACCAGGCGGACGCCAAGGAUGGCGGUCCCGCGGGGACGGAGACCACGGAUGCCUCGGGGACGUCGAACCUGACGGCGGCCACGGUUUCCUCUCCGUCGCUGUCGAUGCCGCCGCAGGCGCCGGCGGCGCGGCGGGAGGACGACCGCGAGCAGCUGGUGGACGGGUGGCCGACGUGGCUGCUGGAGAACGUGCCGCGCGAGGCGCUGCAGGGGAUCGUGCCCCGGAGCGCCGACGCGUUCGACAAGAUCGAGAAGGUCGGGCAGGGCACAUACAGCAACGUGUACAAGGCCCGCGAGCGCGGCGCCGACGGCCGGCUCGUCGCGCUCAAGAAGGUCCGGCUCGACACCAUGGAGCCGGAGAGCGUCAAGUUCAUGGCCCGCGAGAUGCGCAUCCUCCGCCGGCUCGACCACCCCAACAUCAUCCGCCUCGACGGCAUCGCCACCUCCCGCAUGCACCGCAGCAUCUACCUCGUCUUCGACUUCAUGUACUCCGACCUCGCCCGCCUCAUCGCCCGCCCCCUCACCCUGCCACAGAUCAAGUGCUACAUGCAGCAGCUGCUGAUGGGGCUGCAGCACUGCCACGAGCGCAACAUCCUGCACCGGGACAUCAAGGGCUCGAACCUGCUGAUCGACCGCGCCGGCGUGCUCAAGAUCGGCGACCUGGGCCUGGCCAACUACUUCGGGCCCGGCCGGCGCCGCCCGCUCACCAGCCGCGUGGUCACCCUCUGGUACCGCGCCCCGGAGCUCCUCCUGGGCGCCACCGACUACGGCGUGGGCAUCGACCUCUGGAGCGCCGGCUGCCUGCUCGCCGAGAUGUUCUCCGGCAAGCCGCUGAUGCCCGGAAGGACGGAGGUGGAGCAGCUCUUCAAGAUCUUCAGCCUCUGCGGGUCGCCGCCCGACGAGUACUGGCGGAGGAUGAAGCUACCCGCCACCAUCCGCCCGCCAAAGACGUACAAGUCGACGAUGGCGGAGAAGUUCGCCGGCAUGCCGGCGUCGGCUUUCCCGCUCCUUACCACGCUCCUGGCCCUCGACCCCGCCGCCCGUGGCACCGCCGCCCAGGCUCUGCAGAGCGACUUCUUCAGCACGCCGCCGUUGGCGUGCGACGUCUCCGACCUCCCCUGCGUGUACAAGGAGGAGGCUGCCGAUCCGACCACCCCCCACGACGGAAGGAAGUGA